RNAcentral lists this ribosomal RNA (253 nucleotides) under uncultured bacterium. RNAcentral's name for it is "partial 16S ribosomal RNA". It matches the Rfam family "Bacterial small subunit ribosomal RNA", at positions 524 to 776 of the family's 1533-position model. The record is from RNAcentral.
UACGUAGGCAGCAAGCGUUGUUCGGAAUUACUGGGCGUAAAGCGUGUGUAGGUGGCGCUCCAAGUCUGUUGUGAAAUCUCCCGGCUUAACUGGGAGGGUGCGGCGGAAACUGGAGUGCUUGAGGGUGGGAGAGGUAAGCGGAAUUCCUGGUGUAGCGGUGAAAUGCGUAGAUAUCAGGAGGAACACCUGUGGUGUAGACAGCUUACUGGACCACUUCUGACACUGAGACACGAAAGCGUGGGUAGCAAACAGG